CAGGAACCCGGUGCGAAUCCGGGACGGUCCCGCCACUGUGACCGGGCCGCCGAGCGGCCCGGAAGCCAGGAACUG
RNAcentral lists this non-coding RNA (75 nucleotides) under Streptomyces rimosus. The record is from RNAcentral. Lineage: Bacteria; Bacillati; Actinomycetota; Actinomycetes; Kitasatosporales; Streptomycetaceae.